GAUGAACGCUGGCGGCGUGCCUAACACAUGCAAGUCGAGCGAACGGACGAGACGCUUGCUUCUCUGAUGUUAGCGGCGGACGGGUGAGUCACACGAGGAUAACCUACCUAUAAGACUGGGAUAAGUUAGCGAACCCUUAUCCAACACGGGAUAAGAUUUUGAACGGCAGGGUUCAACAGUGAAAGACGUUCUUGCUGACACUAAUAGAUGUUACCGCGCUGCAUUAGCUAGUUGGUAAGGUAACGGCGUACCAAGGCGACGAUGCAUAGCUGACCUGAGAGGAUGAUCAGCCACACUGGAACUGAGACACGGUCCAGACUCCUACGGGAGGCAGCAGUGGGGAAUCUUGGGCAAUGGGCGAAAGCCUGACGGAGCAACGCCGCGUGAGUGAUGAAGGUCUUCGGAUCGUAAAGCUCUUUUAUUAGGGAGGAACAUAUGUGUGAGUAAAUGUGCCCAUCUUGACGGUACCUACACAAAAAGCACCGGCUAACUACGUG
RNAcentral lists this ribosomal RNA (497 nucleotides) under uncultured bacterium. RNAcentral describes it as "partial 16S ribosomal RNA". It matches the Rfam family "Bacterial small subunit ribosomal RNA", at positions 28 to 507 of the family's 1533-position model. The record is from RNAcentral.